Long non-coding RNA from Papaver somniferum (opium poppy), 1239 nucleotides. RefSeq lists it as uncharacterized. The transcript has 4 exons. The record is from RefSeq and is a predicted model, not a curated record. NCBI's taxonomy places the organism in Eukaryota, Viridiplantae, Streptophyta, Magnoliopsida, Ranunculales, Papaveraceae.
GAAGCACCAAGGACCUUCACGACAUUUUCUUCGUUCUUUUUCCUUCUGCUCUCUUAUCUUCUUCUCUUCCUAAUCUAACAAUAUCAAUAAAAUCGGCAAACUUCUCCUCACAGACAAGGAAAAUCCUUAACCUCACCCACGAAAUUUGGAGCAUAAUUCUGUAUACGAUUCUAAUGCUUGAAAUUUGAUUGAUUCUAAACCUAAAUUUGAAUUAGGGUUUUGUUUUGGGUAAUUCUGCUUCUUUGGUUUGUUAGUUAUCGAUUUUGAUUAAGGGAAAAUUAUACUUUGUGUUGUUCAUCUCUAUUUGGUUUUGUUAUCGAAUACGAACCUUACGACAUGAUUUUUUGAUAGAAUUACUCAUCUACUUUACUUUCAUGGUUCAACUUAAGACCUCUUCGUCAAUGGUUGAAUUCCGUUGAUCACCGAUGACAAUUGAAGCCAAAUCGAAGUCCAAGAAUUAUUGAGCUUGCUCGAUUUCAAGAGCUAGCUGAGGCUGAGAAAGAAAAUGAAUGGCAAUGCCAGUCAAGAGAAUUCUCAACAAAGAGAUGCUCACUUACAAUGGCGCCAUUUUUUAUACAAAGCAAAAUGAGAUUCAAUGACCUUAAAUGAAACAUCAACAAUGGCGUAAUGCUAAUGAGGAGAAGAAAAACAAGAAUUAGAUGUGAAAACAAAGAUGAGCACAUAGCCGAAAGAAGCAAACAACUUACUACCGCCACUCAAGUUCGAUCACAAGACCAUGAAACGGGAACAGUGAUUUGUUGCCUGACAAACUUCUAUCGUAUAGGUACUGGGUAGGGCCAUUGAUUUAAGGAGCCUAAUUGCGGAACAGAUGAACUGUAGGAGUUGGACUGUUCACCCGAGAAACGGCUGAUUUCUAUGGUUUCGGGUCCUAACAAUAAGACUGUUGGAGUAUUACUCGAGAGAGACAAAAAUUCUAGGAUUUGGCGAAGGCUGUGCUUGAUACUGCUGCUGCAAAAGGAUCAUCUUCAGUAAAAGAGUAACUUUAUAUAUUUUACCCAUUUAUGGAAGAUAUUUGAUGAUAUCUCAUGCAAAGUGUGGAGGGAGCAUCAACCUUAGUGGUUGGAUGUUUGUCGUGGUCAGAGGGAUGAACACUUGAGGCAUGAUGCUUCAUGAGGUACUACAGAAGCAAUUAAUGUAUUUACAUUGUAUUAAUUAAAUUAAACAAUUAAGGGGAUAUGAUGUAAAACCAAGCACCCUCUUGACAUGACUUUGCAGUAA